GACGUAGGGUGCAAGCGUUGUCCGGAUUUAUUGGGCGUAAAGAGCUCGUAGGCGGCUUGUUGCGUCGACUGUGAAAACCCGCGGCUUAACCGCGGGCUUGCAGUUGAUACGGGCAGGCUAGAGUUCGGUAGGGGAGACUGGAAUUCCUGGUGUAGCGGUGAAAUGCGCAGAUAUCAGGAGGAACACCGGUGGCGAAGGCGGGUCUCUGGGCUGACACUGACGCUCAUGCACGAAAGCGUGGGGAGCAAACAGG
RNAcentral lists this ribosomal RNA (253 nucleotides) under uncultured bacterium. Its description in RNAcentral is "partial 16S ribosomal RNA". It matches the Rfam family "Bacterial small subunit ribosomal RNA", at positions 524 to 776 of the family's 1533-position model. The record is from RNAcentral.